CAGGCUGCUGCCAUGUGUCCUUCAGGGAUGAAAAACAAGCAGGAAUUGUCUCAAAAACUAAAAAGUGUUUAUUUUCUGGAGGUACUUUUAAAUAGUUGAUCCUGGUUGCUAUCCCAAGCCCUGGGAUUGUCCUUUGGAACAGCCAGCCUGGGAAACAUGGCAGAAAAAGCAAUCUUCAUCUCAGAAAUCAGUGUUUACUAUUGUAAUUAUAAAUUGUAAGCAAUUACAAUUAUUCCUUCAUUUUGAUAA
Long non-coding RNA from Melospiza melodia melodia, 249 nucleotides. RefSeq lists it as uncharacterized. NCBI's taxonomy places the organism in Eukaryota, Metazoa, Chordata, Aves, Passeriformes, Passerellidae. The transcript has 2 exons. The record is from RefSeq and is a predicted model, not a curated record.